CAGGGGAGAGUUUGAUCCUGGCUCAGAUUGAACGCUGGCGGCAGGCCUAACACAUGCAAGUCGAGCGGAUGAAGGGAGCUUGCUCCUGGAUUCAGCGGCGGACGGGUGAGUAAUGCCUAGGAAUCUGCCUGGUAGUGGGGGAUAACGUCCGGAAACGGGCGCUAAUACCGCAUACGUCCUGAGGGAGAAAGUGGGGGAUCUUCGGACCUCACGCUAUCAGAUGAGCCUAGGUCGGAUUAGCUAGUUGGUGGGGUAAAGGCCUACCAAGGCGACGAUCCGUAACUGGUCUGAGAGGAUGAUCAGUCACACUGGAACUGAGACACGGUCCAGACUCCUACGGGAGGCAGCAGUGGGGAAUAUUGGACAAUGGGCGAAAGCCUGAUCCAGCCAUGCCGCGUG
This 399-nucleotide ribosomal RNA is filed under the name Pseudomonas aeruginosa. RNAcentral describes it as "bacterial SSU rRNA". It matches the Rfam family "Bacterial small subunit ribosomal RNA", at positions 1 to 403 of the family's 1533-position model. The record is from RNAcentral. Lineage: Bacteria; Pseudomonadati; Pseudomonadota; Gammaproteobacteria; Pseudomonadales; Pseudomonadaceae.